RNAcentral lists this ribosomal RNA (254 nucleotides) under uncultured bacterium. RNAcentral's name for it is "partial 16S ribosomal RNA". It matches the Rfam family "Bacterial small subunit ribosomal RNA", at positions 524 to 776 of the family's 1533-position model. The record is from RNAcentral.
UACGUAGGGUGCGAGCGUUUAAUCGGAAUUACUGGGCGUAAAGCGUGCGCAGGCGGUUAUGUAAGACAGUUGUGAAAUCCCCGGGCUCAACCUGGGAAUUGCAUCUGUGACUGCAUAGCUAGAGUACGGUAGAGGGGGAUGGAAUUCCGCGUGUAGCAGUGAAAUGCGUAGAUAUGCGGAGGAACACCGAUGGCGAAGGCAAUCCCCUGGACCUGUACUGACGCUCAUGCACGAAAGCGUGGGGAGCAAACAGG